Molecule: ribosomal RNA, 823 nt
Filed under: uncultured Verrucomicrobiota bacterium
Lineage: Bacteria; Pseudomonadati; Verrucomicrobiota
Description: bacterial SSU rRNA
Rfam family: Bacterial small subunit ribosomal RNA
Source: RNAcentral
GGGACUUUUUCUGGUAGCAAUACCGGGGAAAGUUUAGUGGCGAACGGGUGCGUAACACGUGGGCAAUCUGCCGAGAAGUGGGGGAUAGCUCGCCGAAAGGCGAAUUAAUACCGCAUACGAUCAGGGACGACAUCGUUCCAACAUCAAAGCCGGGGCAACCUGGCGCUUCUUGAUGAGCCCGCGGCCUAUCAGCUAGUUGGUGAGGUAACGGCCCACCAAGGCUAUGACGGGUAGCUGGUCUGAGAGGACGACCAGUCACACUGGAACUGAGACACGGUCCAGACACCUACGGGUGGCAGCAGUCGAGAAUUUUUCUCAAUGGGGGAAACCCUGAAGGAGCGACGCCGCGUGGAGGAUGAAGGCUUUCGGGUUGUAAACUCCUGUCAUUUGAGAACAAGGGUGAGCAAGUAACUACUGCUCACUUGAUAGUAUCAGAAGAGGAAGAGACGGCUAACUCUGUGCCAGCAGCCGCGGUAAUACAGAGGUCUCAAGCGUUGUUCGGAUUCAUUGGGCGUAAAGGGUGCGUAGGUGGCGUGGUAAGUCGGGUGUGAAAUCCCGGGGCUCAACCCCGGGACUGCAUUCGAUACUGCUGUGCUUGAGGACUGGAGAGGAGACUGGAAUUUACGGUGUAGCAGUGAAAUGCGUAGAGAUCGUAAGGAAGACCAGUGGCGAAGGCGGGUCUCUGGACAGUUCCUGACACUGAGGCACGAAGGCCAGGGGAGCAAACGGGAUUAGAUACCCCGGUAGUCCUGGCAGUAAACGGUGCACGUUUGGUGUGAGAGGAUUCGACCCCUUUCGCGCCGGAGCUAACGCGUUAAACGUG